Molecule: ribosomal RNA, 440 nt
Filed under: uncultured bacterium
Lineage: Bacteria
Description: partial 16S ribosomal RNA
Rfam family: Bacterial small subunit ribosomal RNA
Source: RNAcentral
ACUACGGGAGGCAGCAGUGGGGGAUAUUGCACAAUGGGGGGAACCCUGAUGCAGCGACGCCGCGUGGGUGAAGAAGCGCCUCGGCGCGUAAAGCCCUGUCAGCAGGGAAGAAAAUGACGGUACCUGAAGAAGAAGCCCCGGCUAACUACGUGCCAGCAGCCGCGGUAAUACGUAGGGGGCAAGCGUUAUCCGGAUUUACUGGGUGUAAAGGGGGCGCAGAAGGGGAUGCAAGCCAGGAGUGAAAGCCCGGGGCCCAACCCCGGGACUGCUCUUGGAACUGCGUGGCUGGAGUGCAGGAGGGGCAGGCGGAAGUCCUGGUGUAGCGGUGAAAUGCGUAGAUAUCAGGAGGAACACCGGUGGCGAAGGCGGCCUGCUGGACUGCAACUGACGUUGAGGCCCGAAAGCGUGGGGAGCAAACAGGAUUAGAGACCCGGGUAGUC